RNAcentral lists this ribosomal RNA (537 nucleotides) under Trigonopterus sp. 663 AR-2022a. RNAcentral describes it as "partial large subunit ribosomal RNA". It matches the Rfam family "Bacterial large subunit ribosomal RNA", at positions 1819 to 2625 of the family's 2925-position model. Lineage: Eukaryota; Metazoa; Arthropoda; Insecta; Coleoptera; Curculionidae. The record is from RNAcentral.
GUCUUGUUGAUAAUAAUUUCAAGUCUAGCCUGCCCAGUGAGGAGUUUAACGGCCGCGGUAUUUUGACCGUGCAAAGGUAGCAUAAUCACUAGUUUUUUAAUUGAAAGCUUGAAUGAAAGGUUUGAUGAAAAAAAGACUGUCUCUAUAAAAAUUUAUUAAAAUUUUAUUUUUGAGUUAAAAAGCUUAAAUUUAAAUAGAAGACGAGAAGACCCUAUAGAGUUUUAUAUUUUAUAAUUAAAGAAGUUUUAGGAUUAUAGAAAUUUUGUUAUUUAUAGAAGUAUUUUGUUGGGGUGAUAGAAAAAUUAAAAGAACUUUUUUUUACAGAAGACAUUAAUUUGUGAAUGAAUGAUCCUAGGUUAUAGAUUACAAGAUUAAAUUACCUUAGGGAUAACAGCGUAAUUUUUUUUAGAGUUCUUAUCGAAAGAAAAGAUUGCGACCUCGAUGUUGGAUUAAAAUUAAUUAUUGGUGUAGGAGCUAAUGAAUUAGGUCUGUUCGACCUUUAAAAUUUUACAUGAUCUGAGUUUAAACCGGUGUGAG